UACGAAGGGGGCUAGCGUUGUUCGGAAUUACUGGGCGUAAAGCGCGCGCAGGCGGCUAUCCAAGUCAGUGGUGAAAGCCCGGAGCUCAACUCCGGAACUGCCAUUGAAACUGUUUAGCUUGAGGAUGAGAGAGGUGAGUGGAAUUCCCAGUGUAGAGGUGAAAUUCGUAGAUAUUGGGAAGAACACCGGUGGCGAAGGCGGCUCACUGGCUCAUUACUGACACUCAGGCGCGAUAGCGUGGGGGAUCAAACAGG
This 254-nucleotide ribosomal RNA is filed under the name uncultured bacterium. Its description in RNAcentral is "partial 16S ribosomal RNA". It matches the Rfam family "Bacterial small subunit ribosomal RNA", at positions 524 to 776 of the family's 1533-position model. The record is from RNAcentral.